Molecule: ribosomal RNA, 1500 nt
Filed under: uncultured bacterium
Lineage: Bacteria
Description: bacterial SSU rRNA
Rfam family: Bacterial small subunit ribosomal RNA
Source: RNAcentral
AGAGUUUGAUCCUGGCUCAGAUUGAACGCUGGCGGCAGGCCUAACACAUGCAAGUCGUACGCGAAAGCUCCUUCGGGGGUGAGUAGAGUGGCGAACGGGUGAGUAACGCGUAGGAAUCUACCCAAGAGUGGGGGACAACCCGGAGAAAUCCGGGCUAAUACCGCAUACGCCCUACGGGGUAAAGUGGGGGACCUUUCGGGGCCUCAUGCUUUUGGAUGAGCCUGCGUCGGAUUAGUUUGUUGGUGAGGUAACGGCUCACCAAGGCGACGAUCCGUAGCUGGUCUGAGAGGAUGACCAGCCACACUGGGACUGAGACACGGCCCAGACUCCUACGGGAGGCAGCAGUGGGGAAUAUUGGACAAUGGGGGCAACCCUGAUCCAGCCAUGCCGCGUGUGUGAAGAAGGCCCUAGGGUUGUAAAGCACUUUCAGUGGGGAAGAAAAACCUGAAGCUAAUAUCUUCGGGCUUUGACGGUACCUACAGAAGAAGCACCGGCUAAUUCCGUGCCAGCAGCCGCGGUAAUACGGAAGGUGCAAGCGUUAAUCGGAAUUACUGGGCGUAAAGCGCGCGUAGGCGGCUAGAUAAGUCGGGUGUGAAAGCCCCGGGCUCAACCUGGGAACUGCAUUCGAUACUGUCUGGCUAGAGUGUGAUAGAGGGAGGCGGAAUUCCGCAUGUAGCGGUGAAAUGCGUAGAGAUGCGGAGGAACACCAAUGGCGAAGGCAGCCUCCUGGAUUAACACUGACGCUGAGGUGCGAAAGCGUGGGGAGCAAACGGGAUUAGAUACCCCGGUAGUCCUAGCCGUAAACGAUGGGCACUAGGUGUGGGGGGAAUUGACCCCUUCCGUGCCGCAGCUAACGCAUUAAGUGCCCCGCCUGGGGAGUACGGUCGCAAGACUAAAACUCAAAGGAAUUGACGGGGGCCCGCACAAGCGGUGGAGCAUGUGGUUUAAUUCGACGCAACGCGAAGAACCUUACCUGGGUUUGACAUCCUGCGACGACAACAGAGAUGUUGUUUUCCUUCGGGACGCAGUGACAGGUGCUGCAUGGCUGUCGUCAGCUCGUGUCGUGAGAUGUUGGGUUAAGUCCCGCAACGAGCGCAACCCAUGCCCUUAGUUGCCAGCGAGUAAUGUCGGGAACUCUAGGGGGACUGCCGGUGACAAACCGGAGGAAGGUGUGGAUGACGUCAAGUCCUCAUGGCCUUUAUAUCCAGGGCUACACACGUGCUACAAUGGCCGAUACAAAGGGUCGCAAUCCCGCGAGGGGGAGCCAAUCCCAAAAAGUCGGUCUCAGUUCGGAUUGCAGGCUGCAAUUCGCCUGCAUGAAGGUGGAAUCGCUAGUAAUCCCGGAUCAGCAUGCCGGGGUGAAUACGUUCCCGGGCCUUGUACACACCGCCCGUCACACCACGAAAGCCAGUUGUACCAGAAGUCGCUGGGCCAACCCGCAAGGGAGGUAGGUGCCGAAGGUAUGGCCGGUGAUUGGGGUGAAGUCGUAACAAGGUAACC